This 213-nucleotide long non-coding RNA is filed under the name Callithrix jacchus (white-tufted-ear marmoset). Its description in RNAcentral is "lncRNA (ENSCJAG00000080203.1)". The record is from RNAcentral. Lineage: Eukaryota; Metazoa; Chordata; Mammalia; Primates; Cebidae.
UGUAACUUUCCUGAGGCCUCUUCAUCCAAGCAGAACUGUGGGAGCAUUCUUCAAGUUUCAAAGAGGAGGUAAUAAAAUUGGCACCUUACUGGGAAGGCAUGCAGUGUUACCGAGCAGGUCAAGAUUCAACCAGCUGUGAAAAAUAAAUAAACGGAUCUCACUCUGUUGCCCAGGCUGGAAUGCAGUGGCGCGAUCUCAGUUAACUGAAACAUC